Microplitis demolitor is the source of this 1350-nucleotide long non-coding RNA. RefSeq lists it as uncharacterized. The transcript has 3 exons. NCBI's taxonomy places the organism in Eukaryota, Metazoa, Arthropoda, Insecta, Hymenoptera, Braconidae. The record is from RefSeq and is a predicted model, not a curated record.
AACCCUAAUAGCACAAUUUGCUUGAGCAAAAGUUUACUGUACAAAAGUUUUGUUGAAUUUUUCCUCAAAUUUCCGUCAACUUUGGACUUUUCCAUUUUUUAUGACAUGUUGUAUGCAACUUACAACUGAAUUUGACGUAAAUUUGAAUGCAAAUUGCCCGAAUUUGAAUGCAAAUUCACUUCAAAAGUUGACUAGAAAAAAGUUGUCUUUAAUUUUUAGGCAAAUUUUAUGUCAAUUUAUCGUUAAUUUGACUUAAAAAAUUGUUAAGUAUAUUUUUACGCUCAAAUUGUAGACAAUUUUACGUAUAAAUUUGCAGGUAUUAUCGAAAUACGAUGAUAAAAAUUCCGAAUUGCUGAAAGUACAGUUUUUGGGAAUUAUAGCAAAAUAUGUUCAGAGGGGUCUGGCAAUACUGUAUAACCGACAAAAAAGUGGCAUUUUUUUUGGCCCCGUAAAAAAAAUCUUAUGUCGGACCAUAUAUGAGCAUUCAUAUAAGGCUAUGUCUGAUCAUAUAUGAUUAUAUAUGAUCAACAUAUAGUUAUUGUUUACUCAUUACUAAUUUUUCUAUCGAUGAAAAAGUGUUCGGUAUUUUUCUGGGAACCUGGAUCCUUCUGUGUAUCAGUCGGAGCUUGUACCACUCUGCCAAACCAUGAACUUAAUAGUUGGGACUAUUCAAUAGAUCACAAGAGAAAAUUAAAAAAUUUGAAGAAACUUAAUAAAAUUUUAUAUAAUUUUUUAUAAUUAUCAUCGAGGCCGACAAAUAUUGUUUUUAUAAAAUUUCAUAUAAGUUCAUGGAGUUUUUUUAAAUUUUGUAAAAAUCCAUCACGAAAACUUAUGAACUCUGUCUUUACCGGCAUUUCACUCUAAAUACAUCAAUUAAGCACAUGACUUGAACUCUCGUGAUGUGGACCAGUGAUCAAUGUUCAGGACUACCAGCCAAGAGGAGCGCCGUGUUCGAACUCAGCAGACGUCCAGGAUUUUUUCAUCAUUUACUUCUAUCAAUUCUUCUUUCUGAAUUUGUAAUGCGUUCGCGCGAUUAUAACCAAAUCAAAAAUUCGGUAUUUAAUUUUUUUAUUUUAUUUUAGUUUUUUUUUUUUCAAAAAUAUUUUUUAAUGAUAACUUGAUUAUAUAUAAUUAUUUAUGAAAAAUGGCCAAAUACAAUUAUAUAUAUUUAUAUAUGAUUAUAUUUGGCCAUUUUUCAUAUAUGAUUAUAUAUAAUCGAGUUAUAUAUAAGUCCCACAACCGGAACCACCUGAAAAGUUGUGGAAUAGAUAUUAAUUUGUUGUCACAAAUUCUCAGGAAAAUCAAAAUAUGCAUGGUUUUCAUAAAACAACUUUAAAGUUUUAAAACUCG